GUUAGACAUGACAGUUAUCUUUGAAAUAUUUUAGGACAUUUCUCAUAUAUAUAACGCUUUUAUUCAUUGACACCGACUAAAACAGCUUGUUUUGCUCACGAGACCUACGUUGUUUACAAACCCAAAUCAUUGUUAAAUUGUGUGCACCAUGUGCAUUCAUCAAAAUUUGCAGCAUAAUGAUAUGCUGGUUUAAUUUUUCUUCUUUAGAGUGAUAGCUUACCUGUAACACCAAUUCAGGAUUGGUUACGGAACUACAAAUUUCAAAAUCGUAGCUCAUCAGAGAUGUCUGCACAAGUGUGCUGAGAUUUACAAACCAUCCCAGCAAAACAGAAUGUGUAAAGAUUGCACUUAUGAUUGUUGAAUAAUAUCCAUUCCUGAAGGAUCCACUAUUAGAUGCAAACUCAAAACCAUGGGGAUCUAUUGAGAUGAAAAUCUAUAACCGAUUAAAAAAAUUGCAAAUAAAGAGAUCUAACACGCCUGUACCAAUGUCUCGCAAACUAAAGGCAAAUCAACAAAGAAAAGGAACAGUCACUGUUGGACGAACGUUCCCGAGCCGUGCGAAAGUGAAGAUCUUACAGCAGUGGUAUCAAAAAUAAAAAAGAAGUGGCAGUCAGCUAAAAAGGAUCAUGAAAAAAUUCAGGAGUUCAUGGCUGCAUGCUAUGCUUCAAGAAGAUCACUUGUCUUGGAAGACGUCAGAAGAAUAGUGGAAGUUGUUGAUAUGUUCCCUCCUUUAAAAAAUCUGCUAUACGUUAGUAGCUAGUAGUAUUUUUAUCCCAUAAUAAACAUUUAUGGCAUGAAGCUGUCCUUAAUUGGAAA
Xenia sp. Carnegie-2017 is the source of this 816-nucleotide long non-coding RNA. RefSeq lists it as uncharacterized. The record is from RefSeq and is a predicted model, not a curated record. The transcript has 4 exons. NCBI's taxonomy places the organism in Eukaryota, Metazoa, Cnidaria, Anthozoa, Malacalcyonacea, Xeniidae.